Non-coding RNA from Nicotiana tabacum (common tobacco), 732 nucleotides. The record is from RefSeq and is a predicted model, not a curated record. Lineage: Eukaryota; Viridiplantae; Streptophyta; Magnoliopsida; Solanales; Solanaceae.
CUUGGACAAAGGGGGAAAAGAGGCAGAUGGGCACUUGGAUCCACCCAGGCCCCACCCAACCUCUCACACACAUAAGCCAUCAACGACACAACCAACCGCCAGCAACUCUGAUCAAACCCUUCUGUCGCCGCAAAACAACCACCAUACACCCGGCGACGCAGCCCUUUUCUAGUUAUUCUAGGGUUUUCAGCUUCUCCAAUUUUUCUGCGUCUCUCAUACCUAGGUCGGUGUCGUUGCCUCCCUUCGACGUCUCUCUCAGAUUGAUUGAGAGGCCGUUGAGUUCGGAUUUUUGGCUGUCGUUGAGGCCCGUUGUGGUUUGGUUCGCGUUUCUGCUUGAAGUUUGAUUAUCGUGUCUAGUUCUGGUCGCGACUGUCCCUUUGCUUCUGUCCGUGAAUUGCUGAAAUUAUUCUAAUUGAAAGUAUUAUUUUCAGGAUCUCAUAGAAUCAUUUGGUGAUCAUCUUGGCAUGCAGGCGCAACAGCUGAUGGGACCUUAUGGUGAGUUGUUUUCCAUGUUAUGCACCGUAGCCCAUAAAGUCUUCAUCUUAUUUACUUACUUUAUCUUGUCUAUUUUAUAUUCUAGACAGAUGUUGUAUUAUUAUGACACUCUUUAGUAGAUGGUCAUGCACUUGUGACAUCGGAUUUUGGGAUAUUCUAAUUGAUGUUACAGAAUUGCAUAACAUUGUCACCUUUUGUUUUAAUAUCUUACUAAUUAUGUAUGUACCCAUGAUUUUA